CACGUAGUUAGCCGUGGCUUUCUGGUUAGAUACCGUCACACGCAUAACAGUUACUCUAUGCGCUGUUCUUCUCUAACAACAGAGUUUUACGAACCGAAAUCCUUCUUCACUCACGCGGCGUUGCUCCGUCAGACUUGCGUCCAUUGCGGAAGAUUCCCUACUGCUGCCUCCCGUAGGAGUUUGGGCCGUAUCUCAGUCCCAAUGUGGCCGAUCACCCUCUCAGGUCGGCUAUGCAUCACGGCCUUGGUGAGCCGUUACCUCACCAACUAGCUAAUGCACCGCGGGUCCAUCCAUCAGCAGAAGCCGAAGCCUCUUUCCUUCUCGGGUCAUGCGACUCAAGAACCUAUGCGGUUUUAGCAUCCGUUUCGAAUGUUAUCCCCCUCUGAUGGGCAGGUUACCCACGUUGUUACUCACCCGUUCGCCACUAGAUUGACCAGUGCAAGCACCGGUCGCUCUCGUUCACUUGCUAUGUAUUAGGCACGCCGCAGCGUUCG
This 494-nucleotide ribosomal RNA is filed under the name uncultured Granulicatella sp. Its description in RNAcentral is "partial 16S ribosomal RNA". The record is from RNAcentral. Lineage: Bacteria; Bacillati; Bacillota; Bacilli; Lactobacillales; Carnobacteriaceae.